Molecule: ribosomal RNA, 253 nt
Filed under: uncultured bacterium
Lineage: Bacteria
Description: partial 16S ribosomal RNA
Rfam family: Bacterial small subunit ribosomal RNA
Source: RNAcentral
UACGGGGGGUGCGAGCGUUGUCCGGAAUCACUGGGCGUAAAGGGCGCGUAGGUGGUCUGAUAAGGGUGUGGUGAAAGUCCGGGGCUCAACCCCGGAUCUGCCGUGCCGACUGUCAGACUCGAGGACUGUAGAGGCAGGCGGAAUUCCGGGUGUAGCGGUGGAAUGCGUAGAGAUCCGGAGGAACACCAGUGGCGAAGGCGGCUCACUGGCCCGGUACUGACGCUGAGGUGCGAAAGCGUGGGGAGCAAACAGG